RNAcentral lists this ribosomal RNA (403 nucleotides) under bacterium. Its description in RNAcentral is "partial 16S ribosomal RNA". It matches the Rfam family "Bacterial small subunit ribosomal RNA", at positions 355 to 776 of the family's 1533-position model. RNAcentral also lists the same sequence under 1 other name. The record is from RNAcentral.
UGGGGAAUAUUGCACAAUGGAGGGAACUCUGAUGCAGCGACGCCGCGUGAACGAAGAAGGCUUUCGAGUCGAAAAGUUCUUUUAUAUGGGAAGAUAAUGACGGUACCAUAAGAAAAAGCCCCGGCUAACUACGUGCCAGCAGCCGCGGUAAUACGUAGGGGGCUAGCGUUGUCCGGAAUCACUGGGCGUAAAGGGUUCGCAGGCGGAAAUGCAAGUCAGGUGUAAAAGGCAGUAGCUUAACUACUGUAAGCAUUUGAAACUGCAUAUCUUGAGAAGAGUAGAGGUAAGUGGAAUUUUUAGUGUAGCGGUGAAAUGCGUAGAUAUUAAAAAGAAUACCGGUGGCGAAGGCGACUUACUGGGCUCAUUCUGACGCUGAGGAACGAAAGCGUGGGUAGCAAACAGG